UGCCACGUGAUUAUCACACACAUCCAAGAGUCGUCUCUGUUAAUCUUUAUUUGAAAUGAAGCAGUUAUGUUAUUAUUCUCUACAAGCGAUAAGAACGAUAAACACGGAGAUACGGAGUUGGACACUUGCAAUACGUGGGAAAAAGUAAAUUUAUUUUGUGUUUUAAAUGACUAUUUAAAAAAAUGUAAACUGAUAAAUUUCUUUGGCAUGUAUAUGUAUGUAUUGUAUACAUCGUGUGUGUACCACCAUCAGGUGUAAUAAACCUUUCCAAAGAUAAUUAGAAUAUUGAUGUGACCGAUCAUCGAUGAUAAAGUGUACAGGUACUGUAAAAUUAGCAAUUGGUUGAAUAAUUUAUAGCUAAAAAGUUUGUUAUAAAUAAUAAAUGUUAUUAGAUAAUAAAAAAUCAAUCAUUUUUA
Long non-coding RNA from Monomorium pharaonis (pharaoh ant), 416 nucleotides. RefSeq lists it as uncharacterized. NCBI's taxonomy places the organism in Eukaryota, Metazoa, Arthropoda, Insecta, Hymenoptera, Formicidae. The transcript has 2 exons. The record is from RefSeq and is a predicted model, not a curated record.